GCCUGAGGGGCUCAGUUGGUAAAGCGUCUGACUCUAGAUCUCAGCUCAGGUCAAGAUCUCACAGUUUGUGGGUUCAAGUCCCACAUUAGGCC
RNAcentral lists this transfer RNA (92 nucleotides) under Felis catus (domestic cat). It matches the Rfam family "tRNA". From Rfam's summary of the family: Transfer RNA (tRNA) molecules are approximately 80 nucleotides in length. Lineage: Eukaryota; Metazoa; Chordata; Mammalia; Carnivora; Felidae. The record is from Rfam by way of RNAcentral.